This 1120-nucleotide long non-coding RNA is filed under the name Monodelphis domestica (gray short-tailed opossum). RNAcentral's name for it is "lncRNA (ENSMODG00000047808.1)". Lineage: Eukaryota; Metazoa; Chordata; Mammalia; Didelphimorphia; Didelphidae. The record is from RNAcentral.
AUGUGUAGAAUGAGAAGAAGGAGUUGGAGCAGGAGACUACAGAGAGUCCUUGUUUUAUUUCCCAUUAGGCAAAUUCUAUUUUACUUAAUUCUAAAGGCUUGGGAAGAUGUAACAGAAACACAUAAGAAUAGAGUUUUGCACAAAAAAAAAAAUGAGCCCACUGUUCAUUCCCAAUUUUCAAAUAUUUGACAAAGAUGAAACAUUAGAAGAAGUGAGAAAUAAGACUGUAAAAUUAACAGAACUGGAGCUAGAAGUGGAGAUGAAAAUAACACAGAGAAGUUGAUUGAGUCUCAUGGGAAACUGUCCAAUGAGGAUCUGAUUGCACUGCCGGCUACAGAGAUUGCAAAAGAAGAAGAAAGGGAAGCUUCAGAACCCAAGGUCGAACCAAAAAGGUUCACAAUGAAACAGCAGGCUGAAGCAUUUCAUCAUUUGAGUGAAUUUUUUCUCUUGUUUUGAAAAGAUGGAUUCAAAUACUUCAAGACUUUUUAAAGUUCAAAGACUAGUCGAGGAUAAUAUUGCUUGCUAUCAUCAGAUACACAAGGAGUAAAAAGAGAGCCACUGUCUAAACAUCUUUUAAUAGCUUCAUUAGAAAAGCUGUGUGACCAGCUCCCAGUGAUGAAGGCUAGGUGCGAUGGGUAGAGUAGGGGCGCCAUAUUGCACACCUGUGUUAAUGGUACUAUACAGUACUGUGUAUGUUUCAUCAUUAACUUUAUCUUCCAUUUCAUAAUUCUAUUUAUUAUCAUAUUACAGUAUUAAAUAAGUCUGAAUUUUGGUAUAUCUUGUAUAAAGGUAUAUUUUGUGACACUUUUGUUACAUAGACUAAAUGAAGUGGGUGUGUAGAGGCAUAUUCAUAUAACAUAACGUAGACAUCUGCAAAUUGGUCCAUUUACUCCUGUUGUCUAUUUGAAUUCAAUAGAAAUUAAUUAAUGCUUUAGCACAACGCCCUCCAUUUCUCUGAAAUUAUUAGAACCAAAGUUGAAAGAACAAGAAUUGUCUGUAAUCGGACAAGGCCCCCCAGUCCUGAAAUAGAAACAAUAGUUUGCAAAUAGGUACAGAUUUUAAUCCAAAUUGAGGGGAAGGGGGAAAUAAAAAACUCACUCCCCUGACCCUAUUUCUCUUC